UACGUAGGUGGCAAGCGUUGUCCGGAAUUACUGGGCGUAAAGGGUGCGCAGGCGGUAGUUUAAGUCGGAUGUGAAAUCUGGAGGCUUAACCUCCAGUUUGCAUUUGAUACUGGAUUACUUGAGUGCAGGAGAGGGCAGUGGAAUUCCUAGUGUAGCGGUGAAAUGCGUAGAUAUUAGGAGGAACACCAGUGGCGAAGGCGGCUGCCUGGACUGUAACUGACGCUGAGGCACGAAAGCGUGGGGAGCGAAC
This 250-nucleotide ribosomal RNA is filed under the name uncultured bacterium. Its description in RNAcentral is "partial 16S ribosomal RNA". It matches the Rfam family "Bacterial small subunit ribosomal RNA", at positions 524 to 773 of the family's 1533-position model. The record is from RNAcentral.